AUAGUGUCAUAUUCCUACUCUCUGGGGAGCUUCCUUAUUGCAUGAAACAAGAAUGAAAUCCUUGUUGCUUUUCCUUUCCCUGCUCUAUGUCCCCUCCUGUGUCCUCUCUCAGGUGCAGCUGGUCGAGUCUGGCCCGGGGACGGUGAAGCCCGGAGAGACCCUCACCCUGAGCUGCGCUGUCUCCGGGGUCUCCAUCUCUACUCAGUAUUACUACUGGAGCUGGAUCCGGCAGCCCCCCGGGAAAGGGCUGGAGUGGAUGGGGUACGUGUACCCGUAUAGUAGCGGGAGCACAAGCUACGCCCCGUCUCUCCAGGGCCGAGUCACCAUCUCUGCAGACACCGCCAAGAGCCAGUUCUCCCUGCAGCUCCGCUCGCUGACAGCUGCGGACACCGCCACCUAUUACUGCGCCAGGGGAGACACAGUGACCCAGAGCAAAGCAGGGACCAUACAAAAAGAGGAAGCUGGUUCUAAGCAGCCGAGCUGUACCCGGAGAGACAAUACACAGCCCAUGGGUCUGUGCAGUGACCAGCCAGUCCCCUGA
Molecule: non-coding RNA, 541 nt
Organism: Chelonoidis abingdonii (Abingdon island giant tortoise)
Lineage: Eukaryota; Metazoa; Chordata; Testudines; Testudinidae
Source: the annotation of a RefSeq genome assembly